GCAGUCGGCCGGUUUGUCGCUUGCAUUUCGCAAGAGGAAAGUCCGGGCAACACAGAGCAUCCUACUUCCUAACAGAAAGCUGUCCGCGAGGGUAGAGUAAUGCAGAAGAAAAGAACCGCCUCUUCCGUCGGGAAGAGGUAAGGGUGAGAAGGUGAGGUAAGAGCUCACCAGCCGCGUGGCGACACGACGGGCUGUGCAUCUUAGGAGUUGUAAGGUCAUGUAUACCGACGUUAUGAGAGCUGCUCGCUCCAUGUCGGAGGGUAGACCGCUAAAGUGACGUGGUGACGCGCCACUCAGAUAAAUGACAAACACCUCUGGUCAUUGAGGUACAGAACCCGGCUUACAGGCCGACUGCUUUU
Non-coding RNA from Bacteroides graminisolvens, 359 nucleotides. It matches the Rfam family "Bacterial RNase P class A". Rfam says of the family: Ribonuclease P (RNase P) is a ubiquitous endoribonuclease, found in archaea, bacteria and eukarya as well as chloroplasts and mitochondria. NCBI's taxonomy places the organism in Bacteria, Pseudomonadati, Bacteroidota, Bacteroidia, Bacteroidales, Bacteroidaceae. The record is from Rfam.